CCCUUACUCUACUUCACAAUGGCGUCAACCUUCCGCAUUGCCUUGAGAAAUGGGGUGUGUAGGAGGGCCAAAGGCCACAAAGCUCACAACUGAAGAAGCGAUUGGCGAAGAAAUGGCCAUGAGGAGGCUGAAGAAGCAGCUUCGAGGAGGUUCGAGGCGGUGGAGUGGUUAAGGAAAAUGGAUCGUGGAGCAGUGGAGAUCCCGUAGGGAGAGCCGUCGGAGGAAGAGUUUUGCCUUGCGUUGCGUAAUGGGUUGAUCCUUUGUAAUGUUUUGAAUAAGGUUAAUCCUGGAGCUAUUCCCAAGGUUGUAGAUAACCCUGCUGUUGCCGUUCAGUUGGCUGAUGGAAUAGCUCAAUCAGCGUUCAAUAUUUUGAGAACAUGAGGAACUUCCUCGUUGCUGUCAAUGAAAUGAAACUUCUUACAUUUGAAGCAUCCGAUCUAGAAAAGCUUUGUGUUGUAAUGAAGAAAACAAUGGGGGAGGACAACAAAACAAUUUCCAAAGCAACAUUUUUUGAAGUUAUUUCAAAGCAUCUUGAAGAAUAUGGGAGCAACUCCCCUUAUCAUGCUACAAGUUCAGAUGCAAGCAAUUUGGAUGUUGUUGAUUUUCAACAUAAACAAGCUGGAGGUAACAUUAUUUUUGCCCCCUAAAUGAUAAGUUCAUUGCUAUUGUUUCUUUUAUUUUAGAUGUACAAAGUAAAAGAUAAUACUUACUGUGUCUUUUUUUAGUGGGUAACUUGGAUAAGAAGCUGCUUCAUUUAGGUUGUAUAAAAUUCAUCAUAUUAUCAAGGAAGCUUAGACAAAGUUGAUAGUAAGAGCUUGCUUAUUCUGAUGCAGACCUUGCAAUAUAUUUUCUAUGGGUAGAGGAGAGAGUCAGGAAAAAAGGUGAAAAAGGGAAAGCUUCCCAUAUGUAUCAAUAAACCAUGUUCAUAUUACCAUUAUAUUCUUAACCACCAUCAACUUUGGCAUUUUUCGUCAUUAUGGAUUGAUGGCCCAUCCAUUGAGUUCGCUUUAGAAAAGUAUAAACGCUUUAUUCCCAUUUCAUCAUAAAGUAAAGUUUAUUUCUAGUCGGGAACCUAUUGAGCUUAAUCUUUAACAUUUGUUGAUCUUUUUAUGUUUGAAUUGAUUUAUGAUUCUAAUUUGUUGAGUCCAAUCCUACAUCCCGAACAUAUUAAUGUUGAUCUCAAUACUAGUGUCGGGGUUGAGUCAACCACACAUGGUAAGUUUCGAAGACAAAAGACCACGGUGUCACACGAAACUUGCUCGACACGCAUCGACCGAAAAUCGAAAUUGCCGAAUUGGCCUCUAUUCGCAUAACGGACAGUGCCAGCUCGUCCAGAGAAAUGGAAACAACUAAGAUCGACAUCCAUAUUGAUUGGGAUCAUCAAUCGGCGAAAAUUUAAAAUUUUCAUGCGCAUAUCAAGCCGGCAUUGAUGUGAGCAACAACGACGAUCAAUUUGAUGCAUGAUUAUUAAAUUUUUUUAUUAAUUUUAUUUUUUUUUAAAACUAAUUACUAAUAAUAAUAAAAAAAGAAAUUAAUAAAAAAAAGAAAAAAAUCUAAAUAAUUCUUAAAUUACCCCCAUACUCUCAUAUCCCAUCCCACUCUGUCCCUCAUGCCACUCAUGACAUUCACACUCCAAACCGCAUAGCACGAACUCCCUCUCCUUUCUCGGCUUCCUCUCUCUCAUACGCCUUCAACCGCUGGCCACCAAGGUUUCAUGCGUUGUGACGUCUCGCCAUCGCUUCCACUGUGCACCUAAGAUAUAUCCCUGACAUUUGCUAUUUUAAAAUUUGCCUAUGUAUGAAAUAUAAGUACUCAUGACUACUUUUAUUGGCGAGCGGAGAAAUAUAAGUACUCAUGAUCUCUUUCAUUAGCUAGUGAGAAAAUUUGUAUUAAUAUAUAAGUACCCCAUGACUGCUUUUAUUAAUGAGCGAAGAAAUUUGUUUGCAUGAGAUAAGUACCCAUAACCACUUUUAUUAACGAGUAGGAAAAUUUAUUUGCAUGAGAAAGUAUUCGUGAUAGCUUUUAUUAGCGAGCAGGAAAAUUUAUUUGCAUCAGCUAAGUACAUGUGAUCGAUUUUAUUAGCGAGUAGGAAAAUUUGUUAUAUAUAAAAAAACUAGUACUCAUGACCAUUUUUUUAGUAGGUGGGAAAAUGUUAUGUUUUAUAAACAGGUACUUGAAAACCCAUGACCGCUUUUAUUAGCGAGCGGGAAAUAAAAUUUCGGCUGCAGUGUCACCUGACACCUGCCAUAACUGCAUUUAUUAGUAGGCGGGUAAGCUUAACAUGCCCGAUGUAACCCUGUAUGUGGGGAUGAAGUUGGGGUGUUGCCAAAAUUUAUAAUAAAAUAAUUGAGUUAGAUAAAAUUUAAAUAGGUUAACACCUAAUGUAGCUCCUAAGUCAACAAGAAAUGAAACAUGCAUGAAAACAUAAUUUGCAAAUGUUGAAAAGAAAAAAAAUGAAUGAAAACGUAAUGAACUUGUAAAUGAAUUUUUUCUUGCUUGUCAACCAACACAAGCACAAACUAGAUUUUUCCCCUUAGCUCCAAGCUCGCGCACACACUCAAAUCACUUAGCAACACACACUCUAAACUGAAAUGAACAAAAGCAGGGUUCCCUAUUUAUAACUCGGGAAAUUGAUCCCUUUUGGGACUUGUUGAGCUAAACUCUAAAUACAAAAUGAUAAAAUGAGUCAUAGGUGCAUAAGUGUUCUGGUAGCAUGCACGUCAGCUGUUAAAAUUAGGCUCGUAUACACCCCGUGAAUGUCAUAUGUCAUGUGAACAUUGGCCUUUGAAAAGAAAUAAAAUAACACACUGUUACGUGUCACGGGUUGUACAACCCUUCAUUAAAGUGCACAUGACGCGCUAAAUCAUUAAAAGAGGUGUCAUCGUUGAGUCCCUAUUAUAUUAUGCAUGCAUACUAAAUCAUAUACAAGCAUAUCAUAUGCACAUACUAAUGGUACGCAAGUGCAUCAUAUAUACAUAUUGAAAUAUAUAUAAGUAUGUUACGUAAAUUCAUCAAAGAUUGUGCAAGCACAUAAUGCAACAUACAAAAGCGUCAUGAAAACAUGCUAUCCAACAUGCUAAUAUAUCAUAUACAUGUUAUUCAACAUGUUAAUGGUUCAUGUACAUGCUUUAUGCAGCAUGCAUUUGCGUCAUGCAAUAGUAUUGUCCAACCUUGCAACAUGCAUAUGCAAUAUCUGAUAUGUAAAUGCAUAAUACAUAUUAGUCAUGUAACACAUAAAUGUGUUACACAAGUAUGUAUGCAAACCUAAUCCAAAAAUUUGGGUUUUGACUUCCCUUGAGGUUGCUAGCUCAUUAAUUUUUGAGCUGAAAUUUAGCUCAUUAUGAGCCGGUUUUUAGUUCAUUUAUUGAACUAAAAGUUAGCUCAUUAUGAGCUCUAUUUUUAGUUCAUUUAUUAAUUUAUAACUCAUUAAUCUUUUCCCUUCUCCUCCCCUUUUCUUCUUAAAAUUUUGAGCUUUGCCCCGUGGGUUUCCGUGGCUGACUGUGGUGGGUGGUUUUCCCGUGCCUUGGUUCCUCGGUUCUGUGCGGGCCUCCUUGGUUCUUGCUGCUGUCUCUUCGAGUUCCGCCUGGGCUUCUUUCUCGUGGCUGUUGGGUGGGUUUUCCUUGACUUUUGGUGCUUUGUUUCCUGUGUAGAAUUGGGAAUAUUAUGAGGUGGCUGUUGGCUUAUCAUUUCUUUCAUUUAAUUUGUGAGGAGUUUUUGGGGCUGUUUGGUUUCUCCUCUCAUG
Dendrobium catenatum is the source of this 3742-nucleotide long non-coding RNA. RefSeq lists it as uncharacterized. Lineage: Eukaryota; Viridiplantae; Streptophyta; Magnoliopsida; Asparagales; Orchidaceae. The record is from RefSeq and is a predicted model, not a curated record. The transcript is spliced from 4 exons.